This 46-nucleotide non-coding RNA is filed under the name Schistosoma curassoni. Lineage: Eukaryota; Metazoa; Platyhelminthes; Trematoda; Strigeidida; Schistosomatidae. The record is from RNAcentral.
GCACUGCUGAGGAGUCCGACAACAGAACGAAACGGCCGUCCAAUGC